GCAGGUCGACGCCCUAUCCACUGCGCCACACCAGCCAGGGCGCCAUACACUCUCUUUAUUCACAGACUUGUGUCCCGCUCCAGCCCCGACCUGGGGUCAGUAACUUACUUGUCUGGCUUCGCGGAGGCUCCUCCGUGUUUGUGCUCAGGUGGUCUGUGAGUGUCUUUCAGAAAACGGUUCUUUUAUAUGAUUCGUCACGGAAUGUGUUCUAAUAAAUCUUUCUAUCAUGUGGCCAAAGAAAAGUGUGCGGUUUGGCGUUUGACAUGUGUUCACGGUGAGUGCAAACAACCCUGCAGGAGAGUGGGUGCAGCCUGCACCCCCAAAAGUGCCCCCACGUCCCCUACCUCACCGGCCGGCCCCCAGGGAGCUGACUCCCAGAGGUUCCUCACCAAAGCGUGAGAGCAGGGUCCAGAGCCUUUUAAAAUCGAUGGAAACCACAGCUUCUUCCUGUUUGUCUGUGUCGGGCGCCAAGGCCUCGAGCUGGGAACAGUUGCAUGAAACCUGCCCCUUGGCUGACAGGGGCCUCGGGCCUGUGCCUGGGGUGAGGGGCUCGGUCCUGGGGUUUAGAACAUCGUUGCCUUUCGUCGUGUCUGCUUUGGAGGGAGGCGAGUUUAAUAUUCCAUUUGCACCUGCACAUCUGGCCUCGCACGACUUACAGUGAGAUGACCGCGCUGACACGGACAUUUUUAACGCGCUCGAACGAGAAUGGGUGCGGCCUUGGCUUCGAUGCGCCUGUUCACCCUCACCCGUUUCCGCUGACUUUCAGCGAGAGUGGGAGGGAAGACGGGAGAGACAUGCAUCCAUUGGUCGCCUCCUGCAGGCGCCCAGACCAGGCCGGGGAUUGAGUUGGACUAGAACCCGGGACCCUUCAGUCCGCAGGCCGGUGCUCUGUCCAAACCAGCAGGGGCCCAUCGCCCCACCUCUCUCCUCCGUGUGCCUUUGGACGCAGAGUGAGUCUCACUGCAUCGUGCGGCGGCUCCUUUGUUCGCCCCAUUCGGCCAUCUCUGUCCGAUGGGAGAGCUGGAUGCAUUUGCAUGUAAGGCAGUUACUGUCCAGGAGGGACUUCCGUCUGCGACGUUGCUGUCUGGGGUUCCAGGUGCUGCAGGGCACCCUCCUCCCCCUGCUUUCUCUCCUGAAAUCA
Myotis davidii is the source of this 1141-nucleotide long non-coding RNA. RefSeq lists it as uncharacterized. The transcript has 2 exons. The record is from RefSeq and is a predicted model, not a curated record. NCBI's taxonomy places the organism in Eukaryota, Metazoa, Chordata, Mammalia, Chiroptera, Vespertilionidae.